Amborella trichopoda is the source of this 2369-nucleotide non-coding RNA. The record is from RefSeq and is a predicted model, not a curated record. Lineage: Eukaryota; Viridiplantae; Streptophyta; Magnoliopsida; Amborellales; Amborellaceae.
UUCAACAAAAAAUUGUCUUAAGUAUUACGCUAAUGACACUGGUAAGGCUUAUUGUUUAAUGACUUUAAUAUAUCUAUACUUUAACACGCUAGCUAUGGUCUGCAAGCAUCAAAGAAGCGAAAGGACUUGGUGUUUGAAGUUUGAGAGAACGAGAUCAAAUGUGCUGACUGCUUCGCUAACUUUAAUGCCGAAGAUUUCAACUUCAUAAACGAGGAGAGAGAAAGAGAGAACAAAUCCAUAAACGAGAGAGAAGACAACAUGACGACAUAUUCAGGAGAGAGGAACAGCAACAAACCGAGAAGGUAUCGAGUCAAUAAAGUAGAUUCAGCAGAAGUCCUAAAGCAAACUUCUUGAUUCUUAGUUUCUAUGUGGGCAGGCCCACAUGCCCGCACGAAACCUACUUAGUUAGAUGGUGGAGAUUGCAGGCCAUGAUCAAUCUACAUUGGACGGCGUAGGCUUCAUGGUUUCAUCUGGAGAUGGGAGAAUCGAAAUUGGAGGAUAUGUCUCUUCCUGCUCUAUUUGAGCAGGCUCGAAAAGUACACACCAUAGCAACAGUAGAGACUGCAGAUCCGGCGAGUUUGAAGAAGGCAUGUGAAGCAUUGGAGCAUUGUGAGGAAAUGAUAAGCAAGCUGGGACUAUUCUCAUCAAACGAGUUAAAGGAGGACAUUAGUACAACUGAUUAAAGUAUUUGCUGGUUCCUUUCUAUCUCGGGGAGUGACAGAAAAAGUUGCACAGUCUGACAGGAUUCAGGCUCUUAAGAUUUCCCAAAUGAGAUUGAAGGUAAAUCUUCUACUGACGAGUAUUAUCAGGUUUAAUUGCUAGGAUUUGGUUUAAUAUCAGGAGCCUAGAUAUUGUUCGCUUCACUGUUCUUGCUUUCACAUUCAGCGUCGCUGAGUAUUUGCUUCGAAGUGGCCUUUUCCUUGUGGUUUGAAUUGCAGGAGUUCAUUUCAGUUUGUGAAAGGCUAGAACUUGUGCCCGAAGAGGAACUGACUUCUGUUCAAGAGAGACCAGAUACAUUUGUUGCACGAAGUGAGAAAAAGGCAUGAAUCAGUCCCAUUUAUUUCUCUGUUCUACGAUAGAGGUGUUAGAAGUCCCUCAUCAGCUUAUCGUUUAUUUUUCCUUGUUUAUUAGUUAGUAUUAGAUAGCUGUUGUAAUAAAAUCCAUGUUCUUAGUCUGCUUUAGAGAUGAUGCUAGUCCACAUUAUACUCAAUCAAUAAUUGCAUUUUCUGACUUUCUUCGAAACUUCUGAAGACAUCAAAUAAUUGCAAUGCCGAGUUUUGAGAAAUCAGAAGAAUCUAUCAGCCACUUAUCACUUAGAUUUGUUGAGAAUUUGGCAUAUCCAUCUAACUUGAAUUGUCCCCUUAUUAUCCCUUCAUCUUGUUAAUUCUUAUUGAUACCAUUGUAGGUUGCAAGGUGGUUCACAAUCUAACAUGUUCAGAUGAAGGACAUUUGGAGGUUAAUUAUGACCAUCAAAGUUACACUAUCCCGAGGAAGCUUAUAGAAGGGAGAUCGUGUUGACUUACUGCAAUCAAACUUAUGAAAUUCCCUACAACAAUAAGUUGCUUUGUGAUUGCAGGCAUGGCUUACUACCAUAUAUUUGGCGCUUUGUAAGGCCUUUGAUUUGCUUGACAUGUUGAAGGAGGAAUAAAUGCUAUCUGCUCUAAGGCAAAAGCAAUUACAGGAUGGAAAUGAAGAAAUAAACCAGGAAAUCCUAGAUGAGCAUGCAAAAAGAGCGUAAAUGUGGCAUAGAAAGGCUGCUAACCAAGCACGGUUCUCAAAACCAGCACUGCCCAUCACAUGUGCCACUUUCGCCCUAGAUGUUUUGGAAGGCGGAGCAAAGGCUUCUGAAGCCCAUGAGCACAGGCAUCAACCUUUGACAUUUGGACCUGCAAGCCUCAUAAGUGGGAACUUGACUACCGAAAAGGAGAGGAUGGCUGCCCAGGUCUUUCAGCCUGGUUACAGAAGCAGUGUUGAGAGAAAUGGAAAUGAUGAAGAAAUGGCAAGAGACUCAUGGAGGAGGCCAACUCGUCGUGAUACAGAGAUGGCCGUAAUAAUAGGCCACGCAAUGAUGAUGAAGAAGAAGAUGAUGCGGCAGUGAGAAAGGCAAGAGCAUGGGAUGACUGGAAACACAAUUACCCUUGAGGAGCUGGCAACAAGAAACUCACCCCAUGUGGUUAAAGCCCAUGCCAAUCCCAAACAACUCUCCUAAUUCUAAGAUGGGUGAGGUUUGUAUAUAGUGUCAACCUUUUACUAUUGAAGUAAGGUGUACCUCAAAAUUAUGUGAAAAAUGUAGUUUCAGUGCUGUAAAGCCAUGCAAUGACAUGAAAAUAUAUUGUUUACCCCAAUUAUAAAUUUUAAAGUUUAAAAAA